Molecule: long non-coding RNA, 2111 nt
Organism: Clupea harengus (Atlantic herring)
Lineage: Eukaryota; Metazoa; Chordata; Actinopteri; Clupeiformes; Clupeidae
Source: Ensembl
AACACUGAUGUGGCUUUUCUCCAGUAUGGAUCUUCUCGUGUUUCUUGAGAUGAGAUAUGUGGCUAAAGGUUUUUCCACACUGAGAACACUGAUGUGGCUUUUCUCCAGUAUGGAUCUUCUGGUGUGUUUUAAGAUUACCCAUAAGGCUAAAGGUUUUUCCACAUAGAGAACACUGAUGUGGCUUUUCUCCAGUAUGGAUCUUCUGGUGUUUUUUAAGAUUACACAUAAGGUUGAAGGUUUUUCCACACAGAGAACACUGAUGUGGCUUUUCUCCAGUAUGGAUCUUCUGGUGAUUUUUAAGAUUAGUCAUUUGAUUAAAAGCCUUUCCACACUGAGAACACUGAUGUGGCUUUGCCCCAAUAUGGAUCCCCUGGUGUCUCUUGAGAUUAGACAUUUGUCUAAAGGUUUUUCCACACUGAGAACACUGAUAGGGCUUUUCUCCAGUAUGGAUCCUCUGAUGGGUCCUAAGUUGAGACAUGUGGCUAAAGGUCUUUUCACACUGAGAACACUGAUAAGGCCUUUCCCCAGUAUGGAUCCUCUGGGGUUCCUUGAGGCUGGAUAUAUAAUUAAUGGUCCCUCCACAUUGAGAACACUGAACUGGCUUUUCUCCAGUAUGUUUCAUCAUAUGUACGGUUAGGUGUGAUUGAUUUGACUGAUUGUGACAUCUGUCUUUGUUUCUUUUUUCCUCAGUGUUCCCUUUCAUAUUAGAUUGGAUCCUUUGAAUGUCUCCUGUAAGAUUAUAAAAAAAAGUUCAGCAACAUUUUCUCUCUUCUUCUCUAUCUGGGAUGAUUCUACAAUACAAUACAUACGAUACAUAUUUUUUAUUUUUGUUUUGUCAGACACUUUCUCUCUUUUGAAUGUAACAGACUGCAGAUAUUAUCCCAUAAGUAAGGUAUUCCCACAGUAUCUCUGUUCUCUGAAUAGGUCUCACAUUCAUUGUGAAGCACAAGUUAGCCAAGUUUCUCUAAAAUUGAAGUAGUGUAACUAUACAUAACACAUAACGAUGAAAAAGCAACUUACCUGUAGGAGAAGAGGCAUAGUGACCAUAUUCACUUAAAUCAAAUUCUUCUUCAUCUGUAAUUUCCAUUGGUGAAUUCUUUUCUUCUUUCAUGGUUGGUGACGUGUACAUUUCAGUCUUGAUUUCACAUUCCAUUCCAGGCUUUUCUUCCACUGUCUGAAUUGCAGACAAAUACUCUUGUAGGAAAUCAUCAAAUUCUUCUUCUUUUAUCUCCUUCUUCACUGACAUGAGCGGUUGUGAUGGUUCGGUAAAUCCAGACAUUUCUGACUUUAGUUCUGUUUGGAAACAGAAACUCGGUCAAACUAUCCUUUAAUGCAACGAUAUGGUGAAAAUCUGCAAAGAAAGAACUACAGUAUAGUUGUACUGCUGCUGAAUUACAAAUACUGUAUAGAUCCAGAGCAUCCCAGUGCCAGCCUUAACAAUGUGAGUUCAUUAAUCUGUCUUUGUGGUGUUAAUAUAAUGCUUCUUCUGUCUGACCUAUUACCUUCUUGAAUUCAAACCUAGCCAAUCAGCUGUAGGAGCUGUUGGAAUGCAAACUAGCAUGACAAAGGGUUAUGGGCAGGUCUCUGAGCACCGUUUACACAUCUGAUGGUCCUCAGGUGGGCAUGGCCAUAAAUCAACCUGCUGAGACUACACAAAGGAGUGUAGUAGAGGGGUGGGGUGGAUGUGUGAACUGAACGGUGAUGGAGAUAAUGUACCUUCCUUCAAGGAUGUAUGUAACACAUAACAAAUACAAUUUACAUGAAUAAAAAAGGCUUUCUCUUUGGCAGUACUCCAACUAAACCUUGCCUGUACAUCUAUUGUGACUAACAUAGAAAUAGUUUAUUUACUCACAAUUCUCUCAGAGAUGCUUGCUGACUUGUUCUUGUACUGCACCUUUAAUCUUUAUGUUCAUACAAUAGGAAAGAAACCUGGGGAAGAGGUUGUGGGUAAAAAGAGAAAGAGAGACGGUUACCAUAGAUUUGCCUUUUUGCAAUACAAAUUAGUACACAUAUUUAUUUUUGCUAAUGUAAAGCAUUAAAAGUUGUAGUCGGUGAUUCUGACAAGAGGUUGAUGAUCAAAUCACACUGGCACUGAUUGUUUCCCAUUUGCA